UAAAAGUACAACGAUUAAAUUUAUCAAAAAAAAAACUAAAAAAAUCAAUAAAACAUAGAGGGAAUUCGUUUCCCAGUCACUUUUGUUUUAAAUUGCCGUUCUUGAACUCUGUGAUCACCGAAUUGUUCAGGUGUGAAAGUUUAGUAAAACGGCAUUUGUGCACGGAGUGUUGACCAGCCAUUAACAAUAGUUGUGUACUUAUGAUAUCAAAUAAACCAAUCCCAAUAGAAAAUUUAUGAUUGAAGCAGUAAAAUUCAGAAAAAUAUAAACACAUAGCUCAAUUCGUAAAUAAAUAUCAAUACUCGACGGAAAACCUUGUGUGGUUAAGGAGCUGAAAAGGACGGUGCAGAUUUGUAGAGCAGGAACAUUACUCUUUGUUACGUUAGAUUAAGAUAAAGAAGAAAGUUCAAAAAAGCGUUUUCCUUGUUUUUGCUCAUAUUAUAGUUACACCCAUUAAAUAAAGGCUGUUGUAGUAAGUGAAAAACGCAAUUCGCGGUGCCCAAAUUUCCGACGAAGCAAAUUCGCGUGGAUUGACAAGGCUUUAUUCUGUAAUAGUAAAAAUUAAACAGAAAGUCUUCUACUCUGUGAAGUGGCUGAAAAGAAUUUUGUGACGAGAAUUUUCCAUUCGACAAAAAUUAAAGAAAAUCUUGAAUUGUCAGCCAUUGUGCAGUCGUAUACAAAACAACUGUGUAUGCAGGAAACGACACCGCGACUCGCAGAUACAACUGGAAUUUAGUACACGAAAGAGUGAGAGCAAUAGUGGUCGCAACCAUUUGUCGGUUCACAAAAAAAACAAACACGAACAAGCUCCACAAAGUGAAAAUAUUAAUUACAGUGCAAGCAGCCAAAUAAAGAAGUGCAGUGGAAAGGUUUACAAAGCGAAAAGACCACCAAUAGAUGUACCGCCAGAACCAUCCACAAAGCGAAGGAUCAUAUAGAAGGACUAGAGGACGAAGAAGACAAAGAAGCAUUUUUACCAUUUAAAUCACCAUCAUAAAAUGUAAAAACUUAAUUUACUUAAUAAUGCGUCGGUCCUCUGGAUUGAACUAACCGUUUGUGUGUAUUACAAACAAACAAAACUGAAGACAACUCUUAUGUACCCAAUGCUAAUGUAAUACGUACUAUGUAAUGUGCUAUACAUUUUGAACUAUGUAUUUGUAUUUGCAAAAUAAUAUGUAGAAGUGUAUUUGCAGAAAUAACAAAAACCCAAAGAUAAAUGUUAACAAAUUUUAAACUAGCAAACUUUAAAAAUUAAAAUUGUUUAAAGAUAUACUUCCGUCAUCACGAACAAAUAAAAAAAUAAAACAAUAAUAAUAAAACUACAAUAGACAAAAGACAAAAACCAAACGGCCGCGAGGCCCAAAAACGAAAAUAUGUGCUUUAGUUUAUUGAUGGAUACAAACAAAAUUUUAUUCAAAGAAUGUCUGCCAACAAAUGCAAAUGAAAUGAAGAACUGCAGCGCAAAUGUAAUAAACAAACAUAUAAAUUCAUAAGAGAACCUGAGUCCUAAGCAAACAUCAACACACCCAAUUCAGUACGCCAAUUUACACAAACAUUAAUAAAAAUAAAGGAAAAUAAUUGAGGUUUGCUUGCGAUGCAUAAGCAUCUUGAUUUACAAAAAAAAAAUGACCAACGAACCCAGUCGUUGAAAAUGUGUUAUUUUGAAUUAAAGCUAGUCCGUUGUGCAAAACAUUAUUAGAAAGAGUAGAUUUAUGAGAUUUCAAAAUACGACAAUUUCCGGCAAUAAAAUAAAAA
This 1755-nucleotide unclassified non-coding RNA is filed under the name Rhagoletis pomonella (apple maggot). RNAcentral's name for it is "neurogenic protein mastermind, transcript variant X5". Lineage: Eukaryota; Metazoa; Arthropoda; Insecta; Diptera; Tephritidae. The record is from RNAcentral.